CUACGGGCCGCACCAGUGGGGAAUAUUGGACAAUGGGCGAAAGCCUGAUCCAGCAAUGCCGCGUGAGUGAUGAAGGCCUUCGGGUUGUAAAGCUCUGUCAGAAGGAAAGAAAGCCUUACUUCGGUAAGGAUUGACGGUACCUUCAAAGGAAGCACCGGCUAACUCUGUGCCAGCAGCCGCGGUAAUACAGAGGGUGCAAGCGUUGUUCGGAAUUACUGGGCGUAAAGCGCGUGUAGGCGGCUUGAUAAGUCGGGCGUGAAAGCCCUUGGCUCAACCAAGGAAUUGCACUCGAUACUGUCAGGCUAGAGUCUCGGAGGGGAUGGCGGAAUUCCCGGUGUAGAGGUGAAAUUCGUAGAUAUCGGGAGGAACACCCGUGGCGAAGGCGGCCAUCUGGAAGACGACUGACGCUGAGACGCGAAAGCGUGGGUAGCAAACAGGAUUAGAUACCCGAGUAGUC
RNAcentral lists this ribosomal RNA (457 nucleotides) under uncultured bacterium. RNAcentral's name for it is "partial 16S ribosomal RNA". It matches the Rfam family "Bacterial small subunit ribosomal RNA", at positions 339 to 795 of the family's 1533-position model. The record is from RNAcentral.